Molecule: ribosomal RNA, 865 nt
Filed under: bacterium 76tb
Lineage: Bacteria
Description: bacterial SSU rRNA
Rfam family: Bacterial small subunit ribosomal RNA
Source: RNAcentral
AGAGUUUGAUCAUGGCUCAGAUUGAACGCUGGCGGAAUGCUUUACACAUGCAAGUCGAGCGGCAGCGCGGGGCAACCUGGCGGCGAGCGGCGAACGGGUGAGUAAUACAUCGGAACGUGCCCAGACGUGGGGGAUAGCCCGGCGAAAGCCGGAUUAAUACCGCAUGUGACCUGAGGAUGAAAGCGGGGGACCUUUGGGCCUCGCGCGUUUGGAGCGGCCGAUGGCAGAUUAGGUAGUUGGUGGGGUAAAGGCUUACCAAGCCUGCGAUCUGUAGCUGGUCUGAGAGGAUGAUCAGCCACACUGGGACUGAGACACGGCCCAGACUCCUACGGGAGGCAGCAGUGGGGAAUUUUGGACAAUGGGCGAAAGCCUGAUCCAGCCAUUCCGCGUGCAGGACGAAGGCCCUCGGGUUGUAAACUGCUUUUGUACAGAACGAAAAAUCUCUGGCUAAUACCUGGGGACCAUGACGGUACUGUAAGAAUAAGCACCGGCUAACUACGUGCCAGCAGCCGCGGUAAUACGUAGGGUGCAAGCGUUAAUCGGAAUUACUGGGCGUAAAGCGUGCGCAGGCGGUGAUGUAAGACAGUUGUGAAAUCCCCGGGCUCAACCUGGGAACUGCAUCUGUGACUGCAUUGCUGGAGUGCGGCAGAGGGGGAUGGAAUUCCGCGUGUAGCAGUGAAAUGCGUAGAUAUGCGGAGGAACACCGAUGGCGAAGGCAAUCCCCUGGGCCUGCACUGACGCUCAUGCACCAAAGCGUGGGGAGCAAACAGGGAUAGAUACCCUGGUAGUCCCCGCCCUAAACGAUGUCAACUGGUUGUUGGGAAUUUGCUUUCUCAGUAACGAAGCUAACGCGUGAAGUUGACCG